AAACUUGGAUGUAAACAACAACAAUUAAAAUAAUGCCGCACAUAUUGUUACAAUGUUUCACGUAAACCCUGGAACGCUGCUGUACUUUCUCUUCCAAGUAUUUCAACACUGUCAGUACAAUACUAUGGUACUGAAAAUGCGUGUUGACUGACAGAGUCGUGUAGAAAUGCAUGUUUGAAAAGCAGGCAGUGCAUAGGUCACACGGCUUUGGUAUCGUUUGAGUUUGGAGUGCAGUAGUACAGUUGUGAUCCAAACAGAAAAAGUGAGUUUCUGUUUAAUUUCCUGGAUUGUUUGAAGUGGGUAUUUGAUAACCUAUUGUGUAUGCAAUAUGCCAUUUUAACAGUCCUGGAGCCUGGAGUUCUGCUCUGCCAUAACACAGCACAUGAAGCUGACAGCAGGGUGGAAUUGGACAUGCUGCUCACCUUAUGCUCUUUAAUUGUGCUCAGCAGAGACCAAAUCUAAGGACAGAGGUAGUUUUGUUUUCACGCUAAUUUAAUCCCUGGCUACUCUACUGGGACUGCCACCAACUAAAGUGGAAUAGUGUUUUAUGAUGAUAAUCUGUUCAAUGAGAAAUUGGCAAAAUGCUAAGUGUUAUAUGAGCUAUUGAAGAGCAAGGGAAAAUGGUAUGUCGUGUUUCUAUUGACCUAUCCCUGAUUUUAACAUACGACUAGAUAAGAAAAGUCCUUUACACCCCUACCAGUCCUUGACAGUAACUCAAAUUGAUACUUCCUGUUCAGGAUCAUUGUUUGCUUCAUUUCCUUACAGUGUUUUGCAUGAAGAGCUUAAUCUUUAGCAACAAAACAUAGAGAUGAUCAGAUUUUUAUAAAAGUCCAUUGUGUUUAACAAUAGUGUUAUUAAUUUUAAACUUCUUGCCUGUAUAUGGGAAUUGUAUGUUCAAAUAUCCAGCUUGUAUCCAGAUACAAAAAAUAAGCAUGCAUUUCUACUAGGACAAUAAUAAUAUUCACUUACUCUUUCUUUUCUCCAUCUUCACAGAGCAUACAGCCCUACUUUGGGAACUACAUCUAUGCCUAAAUUUAAAUAAUUAAAUCCAAUGUAGUCAUCAGAGUUUAUGAAAAAGAGAAUUGUAUGUGUAUAUAUAGAUAUUUCCCAAAACAUUAAAUCGCUUCUAUUUCUUCUUGUUGGGAAAAGCCAUUUUCUUCAAAUGAGUCAGCUUUGGACUAAGGCCAAGCAAGAGAACUUUACCCCCACUGACAACAGAUUUAGAAUUUCUCACUACAGUGCCCUGCAUUUGUGUCCUACACUGUGUCUACAAUAAAAUUACUAAUUUUUUUUAAUCUCUUGCAAAUGGUUGAUCAUUCAUGUCAUAUACUACAUAAAAUAUCCUUAUGAUAAUUAAUGUGACUAACUCUCUGCAACUGAUGCCCUCUAUCAUUAACUCUUCAAGGCACUUUCUUAUGUCAAUUAUCACAACUUUUUAAUGUGAAAAUAUAUUUUGGAAAUGUUUACUGCAAAUUGCCCAAUGCAUUUAUUAAUGCAGCAAAGUAAAAGAUAGGUGUGAGAAUUUGUAAUAGCUGUUGCUCAGAUGGUGAAUCUCCCAUAGUUGUUAACAUUAGUUGCAAUGUAAGAUGCUGUUUCACUUACAGUUUUAGCUAUCAAAAUAAAAGCCUAUCCAAAGUCUGCUGAAACUACAGCUAGCUGGAGCAUAACUACUGGAGGCAUUUUGCACAGACAAGAUAUAUCUAUCUAUACAAAUUAAGAAAAUACCAGGAGUUAUCCUAGGGAUCUAAAUGUGCUAUAAAUAUCAAGACAGUAUUUAGAUUACAGCUCCAGCAGAGUCCCCAGCAAUAUUAAUUCCCAGAGAUGAUAUCCCAGUUACCAAAUAAUUACAGAUUAGGUGCACAAAGUACAAAAUACAGAGUUACAUAAUGAGUCUUUCAAGUGAGACUAUGCAUCUGAUCCCACUGAAAAUUCAAACAAAUCCUUUAUACACACUUUCAUGCUGGACAUCAAGCCCAAACUCCUCUCAUUUUAAUUACUAUUUUUGUAUUUGAGCACUAGUAAAUACUGCAACAAUACACAGCUAAAUUGAAAGAACAUUUGGUGAAACAGUCACCUUUAUGUUUGUCUCUCAGGAGUUAAGUGGUCUGAACAAUUACUACAUAGUUUCUUCUGAGUGACAGGGUUUAAUUGCUGCUUUUCCCUAUUCUUACUACUGUUGUUCAUUAUGAUUGCAUGUUUUCACUUUUCCAGGAAAUAGAUUGAAAGGCCUCUGGGGUAAGCACUUCUGCUUAUUAAAUGCUCAGGUAGUGACUUGAAUGGUGGAUUUCAAAUUGAUUUGAAGUGGAACUUCUGGGCAUGAUUGCAAUACAAAUAUUAAAUAAUAAUUAGUGGAAGUAAUAACAACCUGAAAGACACAAAAAAGCAAUAAGUAAUUUUUUUCUUUAACAAGUAUAUAUUGAAGUUUAUUUUAAGUAUCCCAUAAUUUAAAUUUGCCAAAAUAUCUUACUGUAGCAUUUUCCGAAUUUAUGUGGUUCACAACUGGAUGAUACUACAUUUAUGCUGGUGAAAUUAACACAAAACUGGUAUAAUUCAGUGUCAAUUAAGUUUUAGAAGUGUGUUGCUAUAACUAAAUGCAUAAUGUGUAUCUGCCAUAUUUGAAGAGGAACUAAGUACACAACUUCUGUUCAGUCUAACUUCAGUACAAUUAUACACUGGCUAAAUACACCAUACAAAUAAGUUUUCUCAGUAUUUGGUUGCUUAGUUUCUCAAACAGUAAAAUCAAAGUGAUGAAUUAUUAUGCAAGUACCAAUAUGGUAACACCCCAAACUAGCUUUUAUAUUCAGUGUUCUACACAUGGUUAGGAAUGUUUUGGAAUUAUUUUUAACCAUUAUAUUGUGACUUUUUGUUUGCAUUUAUCUUCCUUGGUUAGCAUGGGAGAGUUGGUGAAUUCUGAGGAACACUUGGGACAUGGAAGAGCAUUUCAUAUGGAGGAGAAAAGACAAAAAGGUGGUGUUAAGGUUUCAUCUACUGUUUUCCUCCAUAAAAGGAUAUUUUUAUACAUUUUUACAUGGCAGAAACCAUCUUGAAUUAAGCUCCUGCACAACCAAGAGACCUUUGGGAGAGAAAUCCUCUAAGAUGUGAAUAUUCAUAAACUGCUUUUUAAGACAUUCAAAUGUAAAUGGAACUGUUAUAUAUAUAGACACAAAAGCUAUUUGAAUCAAACAUAUGUCUAGGAAAAGUAAGUAAUGUGUUAGAAAGUCAGGUAAUUUAACAGGCAUGCUACUGUCACAGAGAUUUAAAAUAUAAGGACCUGCUUUUUCAAAUGCAGAGAUAUUUUUCAUAGAAGGAAGGUUAUUGCCUUCAAUGAUGUUGCUAAUCGAAAUAAAAUACUACACCUGUCUCUAGAUCCAUUACCUAAAGGCUUGUUUACACUGAAUCAGAAAAGUACACUAACCCUGUGUACAUUGAAACACCUUAAUUCCAUGCUUUAGUAUGGAAUUUCAGUUUUAGUAUGUACUCACUGUUGAGAUGAGGUAAAACCUAUAUACCCAUCUGUCACUUAUUAAAUGAGGCACGUAUAAUGUUUUUCUGAGCUACUGCCUUCCUGCCUUUCCAAAGCUGAGAAUAUGCUGAAAUGAUUAGGAAACUAAGAAAGGCCCUACUUGCCCCUGAACUCACUUCCUCAUUACAACAUUAAAGGCUCACAACACAGCACAGCAAGCCAUUUUCAUCUCCUUGCUCAGCAGAAAUCAAAUACAGAGCUUCUGAGGGCACUUACAGACCCUCACAACAAACAGCCUCCUCAUAUUGUGGAAGGAGCUUAGACCUUGAAGACCACAAUGUCUGGCUGCCAUAGGAGCUCACAGCACUUGUUCUGCUGUUCUAUUGCCAUGCCAAAUAAAAUAUCAUAAUCUACUUCCAAGAACAAAAACAGAUUAGCAGCAAUCCUGCAUUUAGUUGCAUACAUAAAGAGAAGCCUGACUGGAUUUUGUCAGGGAAAGAUGUACAAAAGUCAGUUUGCUGUAGGCAGUGCCAAUGCCAGUGUACACAGUGAGGACUCAAGGCUGAUAUGUGAUGUGACAUGUCAACAAGGCUCAGAUAAAAUCCAGGACCAUUUUGUCUGAGUGCCUAAGUGUCUUGGCUGGAUACAUGCAAAGAGAGCAGAGCAAGUGUUCAAUUUGCCCAUCUUAUGGACUACUUGUGCUGGCAGUCUUGAGAAGGGAACAUCAGCCAGUAGAUCUUGUUUUGCCUGGUUAAAAUGCAAUUAAUGUGAAAAGCUAUGAAAGAGGUAGUAGCCAAAGGGGUAUGACUUGCAGUGUUACUUGUAGGCAUUUAAAACUCCUCUGCCCCUAACAACCAGCUGCAGUCUGCAGAUCUCCUUUCCCUAACUGCCCAGUUGCCUUAAUUUGUACAUUCCAAACAGUAACCAUACCAGAAGUUUGAAGAGCUAGUUAAAAAUGAUGAUGUCUCAGCAAAUGCAAUAGUCACUCUCAGAUGUUUAGUGGAAAACACUCCUUUCUUUCCCUUGCUCUCCUCCCCCACAAUACACAUUUUCUCCUUCCUCCCCUCCCUGUCAACUAUUUGAUGUUAGAAGGGAAAAGUCCUGAAAAUCUCAGUAGUGCAGCAAACAUGUCAAAGUUCUCCACCAUCAUCCCUCACCAAUAAAAGAAGAGGCAUGACUCUCUUCUUCACUGUUAGCUACUGAAAUUUUAAAUAACCAAGCUUCACUGCAAAAAGAGCAUUUCUUAGGGGAAUAAAAACUGAGUUUAAGAUACCAAAAUUAUUAUUGUAUAGCUGUCUUGUCCCUUAUUCCAACAUUGAAAGCAGUGACUCUGCUGCCAGAGAUUAGACUGUUUCUGUUCAACUACAUAUAGAAAAUGUCCUGUGAAUCCUUUCUUUCCAUAAUGAUUACAUGAAGAGGGAAAUCACCCAGAGCCAGUGCUGCAUCAGUGCUGCAUUCUCUCUCCUAUUUAUGGGACUGCAAUAAAAAGGAGAUUGAUUAGCUGCUAAUGAAUACUGAAGACCUUCCUGGAUCUGAAUGAAGUAGUUCAGCUGUCAUUCAGAGAACGAAUGCCUUUGAACGGUGAAAAGCAGAGUGAGAAACAGAGGUCUCCCGUGAAGAAGAGUGCUGCCUUGGAAAUAGAUCAGUCAGUCCCAGCAGACCACUGUGCAAUGAAUGGAGAAGAGGCCAGUUUUACCACAUCCAAAUAUCAUGCAGGGGUCCCAAUAGUUGUUUUAUUUUCUUGUGUGUGAAGAAGAUAAAAGUCCUGGCAAAUUUCAGUUAUGCUGCCUGUGCAUAUAGGCUUCUGGAGAUGCAGAUAUUAGGGUUUUUUGUAAUGGAAGAAUCAGCACUCUGAAAACUGUAGGAGUGAUCCUUUAGGAAAGAAAUGUAAGUACAGAUUCUACUAAGACGGCUACAAUUUAGGGAGAAGCUGCUGACAUUGAGAAAUAUGAGGAAUAAUACUUAGAAAGUAAUACCUGUUGGUCACUACAGAGGAAAUGGAUGUGAGCAGUUAGUGUGUGCUCUUAAGUUAAUGUACAACUGUGAAGAAAUGAAGGAUAUAAAUGAAAAUAAAUAUUAUCAAGUAGAACAGAAGGAUAUUCAGUGAUCUUAGUCUUGGGAAAACAGGUAAGCUGAAAAAGGAAAUGAAAUUAUAUGAACUAAUUUUCAAAACUAGUAUAGUCAUAUAUGUCUGGGAAAACAUGGGCAUUCUCAUUCUGCAGAGUAGGCAGGGAUAUGCAGUUGGGGUGAACACCAUGUUAGACAUAAGGCUGCCAUGUCCAUGCUUUCUUACCACAGUGCAAUAGUCACACCACCCCUUCUGCAACUGUUUCAUCAUCUGUUUCUCUCUUUGGUAUAACUUGCUUUUUUCUCCUAGGGCUUCAUUGAAGAGCAGAAGUGACAGUCUGAUGGAAAAUGAGGUAAGGACAACCAAAGGAGUGGGAAAAGUCAUUAAGUCUGUGGUGAAGAUGACUAUGAAGGAGAGGGUGACUAGUAAGUGGAAGAACAGAGGGGAGGGAAGGGUAAGGAGAGGACAGGAGAAGUAGGUAAAAUAACCAAUUUUGACCCACCACACCAUUCCAAAAAGAAAACUGCAGACCUACACAAAUAUCAUACUUAAUUAGUCAAUAAAUACAUAACAUCAGAUCUCUGGAACUUCUGGCAAAUGAUUUAAACUUGAUUUCAGUACUAUUCUGUUUUCGGCCUUACAAUACUCUACCAGAGCCUUGUGGUUGUUUACAGCCACUUGAGGAUUAAAGACUGAAAUGAAUUACAGACUUUUGAACAAAAGGCUAGAACCUAGAGCCAGUAACUGUAUUUUGGCAUUUAAUUCCAUUUAUUUUAGGGGAUUAAGGUUCCUAAAUACUUCCUCUGGUGUGAGCUGGAUGUGUUAUUUACAGAAAGUACAGUUACAAUGGAGGCUUUAGGACUCUACUAAUUUAUGCCAGUUGACAUAAUUCUCAUCACAGAUGUAGGAAAAAUCCACUGUGACAGUAUGACAGGGCAGUAAAUGUGGCUGAUCUAAAUAAAGGAUAUUUUGCUUGUAUUUAAUGAGAUAUACUCAGACAUACUAUUCACCCAAUGCUCAGGUUAAAAAAUUAAACUGGGAUAUACUUUAGUUGUUUUCUAAUGCUUGAAAUUAAUUAGCCAGCUGUUAGAUAUGUUGAGGCAUCCAAAUGAAUCAUAUUGCAUACAAUUUUUUUAUGUAACUGGCAGCCUUUUAUAUAACUGAAGUAUUAGACAUUUUGUAAGUAUAUGUAUAUGCUUGUAAUUUUGAAUGUUUUGUACACUUCUUUCAUUUUCCUUUACUGACUUCUGAAUCAUAAAAGAUUGAGUUUCAGUUCAUGUGAUCGUUGCUGUCUAAAUCACAUAAAUUCUAAACAGAGAAAGUAUUAUAUAUAUAGAGAGAGAGGCUAGAUGUUUUAAGAAAAAAAUGCUUUGCAAAUACUCUUUUUUGUUGUUUUUUAUUUGUUUGUGGUUUCUUUUGUUUGUUUUGUUUUUUAAGAAACAUUUUCAUAUAUAUUGAAGCUGACCAUUUUUAAAGAACAAUAUCUUUUUGAAGAAGGCUGCUAUAUAGCCAAGAUCAUUGUAAAAUCCAUCUUUUAUGAAUUCUCUGCUUUGACAUUCACCACAAGUUAAACUUUGUUGAUAAAAAUAUUAAAAGAGUGGAGAAGUCACACUGCAGUUAAAAAAUACAUGGAACAGUUUACAGUUGUCUUCUAAGCUUCCAAUUUUCCAUUGAUAGCAAUUUAUGUAACCGAAGCCUAGGUUAAAAUGAAUUCCUUAUGCUGUUCGGGGAGUAAUAACUCACAGAAAUAGUUUGCUGUUUUUCUCUCCCACACCCAGAUAUUUUUGUGUAGAUUUCAGAUUUCAGUUACAAAACAUAGCAUAGCAUAACAUAACAUAACAUAACAUAACAUAACAUAACAUAACAUAACAUAACAUAACAUAACAUAACCACAGCAGUGAUAAAAUGAGCUUGAUUUAACCCCAUGUAAAUAUAACCUGUCCCUGUCCUUUUAUUUUCUGCAAUACACACCAUUACUUUCCAGAUGGUAUAUCCCAUAGUAAAGAACACAAGACAGACUUCUAAUCUAUAUACAGAAUGAAAACUAGUUUGAGUACAAAUACAGCAUUUCUAAUAACACAGUUGUGUGAGGUCAAUGUUCUGUUUAUCUACAGUACAAGAUGUUACUUUACAAAAAGUGAAAGACAGUUUUACAUGUCAAGUGAUCACAGAAAAUUGUUAGUGCUGCGCAGCAGUUUGAGAGCACAGGGGAAGAGAGGCAAAGGCAGAAGUUUAAAACCUACCAGUGCAGUAAAUGCAAUAGAACAAAGACUGAAGAUAGCCUUUCAAGGCCCUGCAAGCAGUCCUAACAGCUCCUGGGCACAGCCCUCAUUGUACUCAAAAAUUAGUGUUUGGAGUUGAAAUGAAGCACUCUGACACCAGUUCAGGACAAUGGAGACUUUUAAGGGCAACAGUAGAUAAGACAUAGAUAAAGAGACAUGGAUAAAGCUCCUUCCAUGGGCAUACAGGUUUCUGGGUACAGCUCUACUGAGAACUGAUCACACUGGAUCGCUGACAGCAUGACAGAAGGGCUAACUUGUAAUUUAAGCAAUUUCCAUAAGAAGUCAAGCAAACCCAUGUAAUUCCUAAGGAAUAAGAGAGAAAGGAAAGACAAACAUGUCAAACUUAAUCCACACUUUCACCAAGGACUAAACUGGUUAAGUUAUAAAAAGCCAUCCUGGACCAGAAGGUCCUUCAGGUUAAGGGGUACUGAUGCAUGUCUCCAGCAGAGCAAAGUGCAUAGAGAAAGCAAAAUGAAGGAAAAAAGAAGCUGAUUUGCCAGUAAGUGUGAUUAUCUUCAGAGGUGUUCUUUUUUCUGUGCAGAUUCACACCUGUUGAAUCUUUUCCUUGUACAUAAAGUUCCAUUAGACAUGGUGAAGGGGCCUAUGGCUGGGCUUAUCCAGGGUUUACCAUGCUUGCUGUAGAAACAGAUAAGACAUAAACACACUUGGGCAAAACCACAUUAAUAAUGUGAGCAUGUAUCUAUAACACCCCUCAACUUCUGAUUAUUUUUCUUAUCUGUAGAGAAUGUGAACAUUUUUGUAUAAAAAUAAAAUUUAAAUGUAAGAGAAAAAUGCUAUUAAUAUUAUUAUGUUUAAUUGCACUAUAUUAAUUAAUAUUUUACAGAUAGCUGAUUUAAGCCCUGUUAUCUCUGUGGGUCUUAAUUCUGAAUUUUCAAUGGGAUGAAAGUCUUACUUCUUGACUAAGCUUAAAGUACAAACCCACACUUUAAAAAAUUUACCAAGGUGAAUAAAAUGUAUUCCUCUCGGUGCAUGCUCUUAAAACACAAUAUGUGCUUUGAGACAUUUCUCAUUAAUGCUUUAGGCGAAACCUCUUCCAUGUUUAUAUAAUCAAAUAGUUGCAAAAUCCUUCUGUGACUAACAAUAUUUGCAACAUGUUACACAUUAUGUGGCUGUAAAAUUCCAACUAGAUUUCUGACAUUUUGUCAGAUUUUAGUAGUAACUUAUCUUGAAUGUUGGACCAUAAGUGGUUCUUAAUAAAUAAAGAAAUUAAUA
This is a long non-coding RNA of Passer domesticus (house sparrow), 9046 nucleotides long. RefSeq lists it as uncharacterized. The transcript has 5 exons. The record is from RefSeq and is a predicted model, not a curated record. NCBI's taxonomy places the organism in Eukaryota, Metazoa, Chordata, Aves, Passeriformes, Passeridae.